Molecule: ribosomal RNA, 252 nt
Filed under: uncultured bacterium
Lineage: Bacteria
Description: partial 16S ribosomal RNA
Rfam family: Bacterial small subunit ribosomal RNA
Source: RNAcentral
UACGUAGGGGGCAAGCGUUGUCCGGAAUUAUUGGGCGUAAAGCGCGCGCAGGCGGUUUUUUAAGUCUGGGGUUUAACUGCAGGGCUCAACCCUGUAUCGCCUCGGAAACUGGGAGACUGGAGUGUAGGAGAGGAAAGUGGAAUUCCACGUGUAGCGGUGAAAUGCGUAGAGAUCUGGAAGAACACCAAAGGCGAAGGCAGCGUCCUGGCAAGUCACUGACGCUCAGGUGCGAAAGCUAGGGGAGCGAACGGG